AUUGAACGCUGGCGGCAGGCCUAACACAUGCCAGUCGAACGGUAACAGGAAGCAGCUUGCUGCUUUGCUGACGAGUGGCGGACGGGUGAGUAAUGUCUGGGAAACUGCCUGAUGGAGGGGGAUAACUACUGGAAGCGGUAGCUAAUACCGCAUAACGUCGCAAGACCAAAGAGGGGGACCUUAGGGCCUCUUGCCAUCGGAUGUGCCCAGAUGGGAUUAGCUAGUAGGUGGGGUAACGGCUCACCUAGGCGACGAUCCCUAGCUGGUCUGAGAGGAUGACCAGCCACACUGGAACUGAGACACGGUCCAGACUCCUACGGGAGGCAGCAGUGGGGAAUAUUGCACAAUGGGCGCAAGCCUGAUGCAGCCAUGCCGCGUGUAUGAAGAAGGCCUUCGGGUUGUAAAGUACUUUCAGCGGGGAGGAAGGGAGUAAAGUUAAUACCUUUGCUCAUUGACGUUACCCGCAGAAGAAGCACCGGCUAACUCCGUG
Molecule: ribosomal RNA, 490 nt
Filed under: uncultured bacterium
Lineage: Bacteria
Description: partial 16S ribosomal RNA
Rfam family: Bacterial small subunit ribosomal RNA
Source: RNAcentral